UGCGCAGGCGGCUCUUUAAGACAGGUGUGAAAUCCCCGGGCUUAACCUGGGAAUUGCGCUUGUGACUGGAGAGCUCGAGUGCGGCAGAGGGGGAUGGAAUUCCUGGUGUAGCAGUGAAAUGCGUAGAUAUCAGGAGGAACACCGAUGGCGAAGGCAGUCCCCUGGGUCGACACUGACGCUCAUGCACGAAAGCGUGGGGAGCAAACA
This 207-nucleotide ribosomal RNA is filed under the name uncultured bacterium. RNAcentral's name for it is "partial 16S ribosomal RNA". It matches the Rfam family "Bacterial small subunit ribosomal RNA", at positions 568 to 774 of the family's 1533-position model. The record is from RNAcentral.